AGAAGAAGUCCCAUGCUUGAGAUAUAAACUCGUUAUUAAAUAGUCGUACAUAUACCGGGAGAUUUGCUGACUGCAGCUUCUGCACAAUAUUCGUUUGACCAAUGAUAAAAGCGUCUUCACUGGGGAAGACUGAUUUCUUGGUUAUGACAACAGAUUUUGCAAAGGUCUUGAUCUCCAAUAUAGUUGAGUUCUUAAUAUCACUGAUAUUAUCGUCAACCAAAUAAACAAGUUCAUAACUACUCUUCUUGAAUUCUUCCAGAACAGAACUGUCAUUUGAUUGGAUCAUAACUUUCCUAGCUGUCUGAUUAUUGUAACCAGCUGUGCUUAGGGCAUCCAAAACCGCAUCAGUUACACCUAAUCCCUGCUUUGCCAGGUAUGCAGCAUUCUCUAUGCUGAUCAUUAUACCAGAAACAUUAGCAGUUUUGGAAAAUGUCAAGAAGUCUGCUAACGACAUAAACUUUCCAACAUUUCUGGCCUUUGGAUUCCGUGACAAUCUAAAGUCUGAAUACCGGGUUGAUAUUACCGGUUUCAGCGUUUGAAUAUCGCUCCAGUUUAGGUUGAUGGUGAGUAUUCCAUCUGUUAUCUGAAGCUCUGGAGCAGUGGUAGCGAUGUCGCUGAAUGGCGAUUGGGCCGCAGUCGUCGUGUCUAUCAGAUUUAUCGAACUAAGGCAGAAGGGUAUUCCAUCUUUUGUCAUUUGGACAGGACAGCCAAUAAUAUCUGCACCAUCGGAAGCAGCUUUUGUAUAUGCUAAAUCUGUACAACCAGGAUAGUCACCACUUGCUCCUUGAGGUGCGAUAAUCUGAAGAGUUACUUGAGGCUUAUCAUUCGCACCCAAAUGCGAGAAGCAAUCUACUGACGCAGAUGGAGACAUUGGGAAGUCAGAUAACACUCCGUCCACCGAGAACUCACCGUUGUCUAUAAAGGAUAAAUACUCAGCUACAGGAUCAUAGCUAUAAUUAUAAGCAAAUGGUACAUCAUUAACAAAGUCGGCUGCAUAAAUCUCAAGUCCUUCCUUAUGAGCGUCCGAAACAACCGAUGUAUGUGGCUGCAAGUACAAGCUGCUGUCCGUUGGCCAGAUAUAGUGUUUGGGAACAAGAAUCCCAGCGGCAAAGGUUUUAACAAAUGUGAGAUUCUUCACUAGAGAACCAUAUGUUUGACUUGUUGAUGGCUCAAUAUCAUCUUCGUUGAGAAACCGGAAAACGCGCUUUGUCACUCGUGGAUUCAAUCGCGAUGCGAUACUUCGCAGGAAAUUCACCUCAGGUGAUGAAAUAUAGUUGGCAAUAACACUUCUAGAUAGGGAAACAACAAAGCUUCUCAUACUCAGAUUGUGCUGGCUGUAGAAGGAAUCAUGCUGGAUAUUCAACCAUAAUCCUGGAGGUUUGACUUGGGUAGCUACAUCCUGGACAGUAAGAAUUUGCUGGGGAGUGCCAUCAAAUCUAGGCGACCGCGAAUACACUCCUUGUUUCAAGCUGACAGGUGCCAAAUCCUUGAUGCUGAAAUCUAUAGAAAACCAUCCUGUCUGAGGAAUUCCAUUCACCGAGUAGUUGUUAUUCCUGUUUGGGUAGAGAGUAUCGAUGUCAGAAGCAUUGUUAAGCUUGAUAUCAGGAAAACAAAUGCCAACCCCGUCUUUUGUGAGUUGAACAUCACACCAAGCAACCCAAUCAGCCGAGCUAAUUGCUUGUGCCAACAUGUAGGCAUUAAAGCUUGAAUCAGGAAGUAACCCAGAAAAUCCUCCACGAGCUAUGACUUUUGGUGCAUCUCCGCUCAGUGUUUUCCAUUUAGAGGUUACAUUGUUAGAUCUUUGAGCAGCAACAAAUGCAACUGAGCAACAAAGUACCAGGAGACAUAAAACAGAACGCAUUUUCCUCAUUUCCGGCGAGCUCAGCCGGAGAAUCGUUUUCCGGCGUAAAUUUUUUUCCGUUAGUGACGGAGGUGGAGGAGAAUAUGGAGAGAUUCAGCUGAUUUGUGUGAAGAAAAAGUGUGAUGAUUGACAAGUUGAGGAGACUUUGAGAGCAGAUAGAUAGAGAGAGAAAGUGUGUGAGUGUUUGUGCCUUGCCUUUGAGGGAUGUGGU
This 2072-nucleotide unclassified non-coding RNA is filed under the name Hevea brasiliensis (rubber tree). Lineage: Eukaryota; Viridiplantae; Streptophyta; Magnoliopsida; Malpighiales; Euphorbiaceae. The record is from RNAcentral.